Molecule: transfer RNA, 76 nt
Filed under: Desulfovibrio sp.
Lineage: Bacteria; Pseudomonadati; Thermodesulfobacteriota; Desulfovibrionia; Desulfovibrionales; Desulfovibrionaceae
Description: tRNA-Asn
Rfam family: tRNA
About the family: Transfer RNA (tRNA) molecules are approximately 80 nucleotides in length. Their secondary structure includes four short double-helical elements and three loops (D, anti-codon, and T loops).
Source: RNAcentral
UCCUCGGUAGCUCAGCUGGCAGAGCGGGUGACUGUUAAUCACUAGGUCGGCGGUUCAAUCCCGUCCCGGGGAGCCA